UACUUUAUUAGUAUAAUGGAGUAUGCUUGCCUUCCAAGUAAGAGGUUUAACGAUUUUAAAUGAAGUAA
Molecule: transfer RNA, 68 nt
Filed under: Notospermus geniculatus
Lineage: Eukaryota; Metazoa; Nemertea; Pilidiophora; Heteronemertea; Lineidae
Description: tRNA-Gly
Rfam family: tRNA
About the family: Transfer RNA (tRNA) molecules are approximately 80 nucleotides in length. Their secondary structure includes four short double-helical elements and three loops (D, anti-codon, and T loops). Further hydrogen bonds mediate the characteristic L-shaped molecular structure. tRNAs have two regions of fundamental functional importance: the anti-codon, which is responsible for specific mRNA codon recognition, and the 3' end, to which the tRNAs corresponding amino acid is attached (by aminoacyl-tRNA synthetases). tRNAs cope with the degeneracy of the genetic code in two manners: having more than one tRNA (with a specific anti-codon) for a particular amino acid; and 'wobble' base-pairing, i.e. permitting non-standard base-pairing at the 3rd anti-codon position.
Source: RNAcentral